UACGUAGGGGGCUAGCGUUGUCCGGAAUCAUUGGGCGUAAAGCGCGCGUAGGCGGCCAGAUAAGUCCGGUGUGAAAGUCACAGGCUCAACCUGUGAAUGCCGCUGGAAACUGUCUGGCUAGAGUCCGGAAGGGGCGAGUGGAAUUCCUGGUGUAGCGGUGAAAUGCGCAGAUAUCAGGAGGAACACCGAUGGCGAAGGCAGCUCGCUGGGACGGUACUGACGCUGAGACGCGAAAGCGUGGGGAGCAAACAGG
RNAcentral lists this ribosomal RNA (253 nucleotides) under uncultured bacterium. Its description in RNAcentral is "partial 16S ribosomal RNA". It matches the Rfam family "Bacterial small subunit ribosomal RNA", at positions 524 to 776 of the family's 1533-position model. The record is from RNAcentral.